UUACGAGAUGCCUGAAUAUGGCCUGCUGUUGCUCCCAGUAACUGGUACUGCCACUGAAGACAGGCAUUUCAUGUUCCAGAGAGUCUCAUAGAUUGCAUACUAAGUAUCAAGGCUUUACUCUUCAUAAUGAAUUUACACUGAGCAGAAAUUGGUUGAUAAUCGGAUAGAACAAUAUAUCUAACUAGAGACUAUAUUUAUCUCUCUCUUUUUUCACUCACUGCACACACCUCAGAGCAGCUAGGUUUACAUCUGCUAUUUGCCACAGUAGUCUUAUUCUUGCAGAUCUGCUGUAAUGACCUGUAAAUGGUAUCAUCCAAGCCAUCAGAUUAGCUCAUCAUUACUAAUAAAUGACAAAGCGUGUUGGAACCUAAGCCAAGGUUUUCCUUGCUGUUAUUUUACUACCAUACUAACAACAACCUAUUACAACAUUAGUCAUAUCUCAAGAUCAGUCUUGUAACUAGCUAUUUUUGUUCUAUAUUCAGAACAGGCUCCAUACUCUCCCCCCCCCCCAUUAGGCCCACCACACAGAUUCAAAAUGACUGUCCUGCCUUCUCAAAGGUUAUAUUGCUAUUAUUAUGUCCUUUUAACGAAAUCAGCAUUGAUUUGGGACAGGAAGAGAUUAAAGAGUGUACAUGGUUUCCUUUCGUACCAUUAUAGCUCAUGAACAGCUGGUGUGUUAUCAUUAAGGGUGUUUGACUAGAUAGUAACCAAAUGAGCAGAAAUUUCAGGUUCAAAUCUCCCCGAAACCACUAAGAUCAGUGGGAAAGCUCUCUCUCUCUCUCUCUCUGACCUCAGAUGAUUGAUAUGAGGAUGAAUGCACAAAUACCAUAUUCCUCCUCCUCACUUGGGGGGAAAGGCAGGAUAAAAAGGUAAUAAAAUGUUUGCAUCAAAAUGAAUGCCUGCUUCAAAGAGCCAUGCACUUAAACUAGUCUGGUUCUUCUUCCUUAAAUAAAUAUACCACAGAAUUUAAUAUAAAGCAUUAAACCAUUACAUCCCCCAGAAGUACAUAACAAAACCACCAUCCGCAGAGCUUAAAGGUCAGAAGCAAAGUGGGCAUUAAGUAUCUACUCUCAGUUCAAUGUGGUUUACAUUUCUUGUUCUUUACUUUACAGUACUUUUAUUGAGCAGUCCAGGCUACUCCCAUAUUCAAUCAAUUUCUUCCUGUCUUGACUUCAGUUUAUUUAUAGAUUUAAAGUUAGCAGUCCCCAUGUCUAACUGGGCUUUUAGCUUUUCAUUUAACUUCUUUACUUAAGAAAAGGUGGAAAUCUAUAGUCAUACACUCCUAAAAACAGUAUGUGAAACUUUGCAAGAGGAUCUGUCUACUAAGCCAGCGAUGACUCAUUGCUACCACAUUCCAUUGUCAAAUCCUUCUUCCUUACUUCUUCCGUCACAUAAUGCACACCUUUAUAAAGUAUUGUGAAAGAGCACCUACACAAAACACUUUCUAUUCAUCAAUGUAGACCGUUAACAAAAUAUUGCAGUGUAUUUGCACUCCCUAAGGGUCUCUCCAUACAUCCUUUCUGUUGCACAUUCAUGACGAUUUGUGCUCAUGAUGCUAAUGGGGCAGUCACAUGUGAUCCCGCUUUCAAUACUUGUUUGCACCUGCAAAAGUUUUGGGAUGGUCACACAAUUUCAUUCCCAAUCAGUGCAUAGACUUUGUGCUGAAAUUCCGCAACCUUUUAUAACGCUAAUGCUCUGUUUAUUUUUGUCCUGCUUUUGUUGUGCUAUAGCCACUAUGAACAAUAUUAAUGUGGUAGCACAACAAACCAAAGCAAAAUAAAUCACCAUUAAUGCACUAUCAAGCUGGUUAAUUCACCUCUUCCUACGACUUUUUGUUUUUUCUUUUCUUUUCCACUGCACUCAAUAUUCCAUGGUUUGCCCCCUCGGGAUUUCCCCCCACUCUAAAGAUUUAUGCUUCUGCCUCACUGCUGUGCAGACAUUGCAUAUAAUUGUGUAUGUGUGUGUGCGCGCGCACACGCACGUGCACACACAUCACUUGAGUUGAGUGAGUUUAUGGAUUUCAGCAGCAGCACACGUGCCUAUCUGCACAUGGUGCCCUCUCUUUUCCCUCUCCAGCACAAGAUCCAGAAAAUCAAAGGAGCACAGACAGGCAUCACGGCUGUAGCAGAAUCUUGACAGGCACACACAUUAAACAAUUUCAGUGAUAAAGAUAAUAAAAACGUACUUGCAGCUUAAAAAAAAAUACUUGCAAAGACUAGCAUAUUAUACCUUUUAUCUAUCAAAUACUUUUAAAAGAGAAAUAUACAAGUGUACAUGAAUCUUACAAUGCCAUUAAAAUGUGGUGGUGGUGAUUUUCUAAAUACAAAGAAGCUCUGUUUUUAUUGGGCUGCUGAACAGGGUAGUUUAUUUGUAUAAUUCAUAUCCAUCAAGACCAGAUUUGAAUUUCCAAAAGUUGUAGUGUGUUUUUUAAAGAAAACCUUGAUAAUCACUCAUGCCUAUAGGCAGUGCUUUUUUUCUAAAAAAAUAUUUAGGGGUACUCUCAUUUUCCUACUCAUACUGAAAUACUGCCCCUCAAUGAGGCCAAACUUAGAUUCACAAAAUGUUUAGGGGUAUGCAUACCCCUGUGUCCCCCCAGGAAAAAAAGCACUGACUAUAGGGGUUAAACCAGUGUCUCCUUUAAGGAUAGGGACAGGAGGAAGCUAACUGAGUUAGUUAGUUUACUCAUAAGUGCAGCACUCACAAAUGGCAAAGGUAGGAAGUUGGCUUCACCCACACAACUGCGGAAUAAAGAGAGACUGUGGCUUUAUUCUAGGAAGGGCUUUUUAGAAGCUGAACUGUAUUUCAACUCCCUGUCAAUAUAAUUGGCUCCAUAGUAUCAUGUAAUCACACAAAUCGAUAGUCUGCCAUUUCACAUGCUUGUCGUUAUGAACAGAAUCUUUCUUUUCUUCUCCACAGCAAGCAUAUUAGCUUUUCUAUUGUGAAGUAAAAUCUGCAUGUUGUGAAACCCUGUGGCUGCCCCCAAAAGUCAAGGCACUGAAAGUAGAUUUAAAGCCGAUGAUUAGAUGUGAUACAAUCACCACAGAAAAGCAAGAUAUGAAAAAUGAAGAUGCCGUAAAAAUGACUCACGGAUGAAUUAUUUAUCACACUGGUGAUCUUGAAGUCCAUUAAUAGCUAUAGGUCCACAAAGUAUCUGAAAUUACUCAAAGUGACAGUCUUAGAGCAAUUCUGUAUAACUAGAAAUGAAUCUAUGGACACCAAAAGACAUCAGCAGACAUUUUUAAGUGAAGUGUGUUUGGCGGCCGUCAACAAGCUACUGAACUUUUCCAUAAUACUACUAAAUGAAGCUUAUACCCUUCAAGAAUUGAUGUAUGCUUUUAGUGCCGCCUUCUUCAAAUAGUUGUCUGAAGUGUUGUCUGUAAGCCAGGCACUAUCCAAAGUACAGCCAGACUUUCUUUGUAAUAGGAUAC
This is a non-coding RNA of Podarcis lilfordi (Lilford's wall lizard), 3428 nucleotides long. The record is from the annotation of a GenBank genome assembly. NCBI's taxonomy places the organism in Eukaryota, Metazoa, Chordata, Lepidosauria, Squamata, Lacertidae.